Molecule: ribosomal RNA, 398 nt
Filed under: uncultured beta proteobacterium
Lineage: Bacteria; Pseudomonadati; Pseudomonadota; Betaproteobacteria
Description: partial 16S ribosomal RNA
Rfam family: Bacterial small subunit ribosomal RNA
Source: RNAcentral
GAGUUUGAUCAUGGCUCAGAUUGAACGCUGGCGGCAUGCCUUACACAUGCAAGUCGAACGCGAAAGGGGGGCAACCCCCCGAGUAGAGUGGCGCACGGGUGAGUAAUGCAUCGGAACGUGUCCUGUAGCGGGGGGAUAACCUAGCGAAAGCUAGGCUAAUACCGCAUACGUCCUACGGGAGAAAGUGGGGGGAUCGUAAGAUCUCACACUAUAGGAGCGGCCGAUGCCGGAUUAGCUAGUUGGUGGGGUAAAGGCCUACCAAGGCGACGAUCGGUAGCUGGUCUGAGAGGAUGAUCAGCCACACUGGGACUGAGACACGGCCCAGACUCCUACGGGAGGCAGCAGUGGAGAAUAUUGGACAAUGGGCGCAAGCCUGAUCCAGCCAUGCCGCGUGUGUG